UUUGGUGGCGAUGCGCUUAGGGGUAACACCCGUUCCCAUCCCGAACACGAUGGUAAAGACCUAAGCGGCCGAUGGUACUGCACUGGAGACGGUGUGGGAGAGUAGGUG
Molecule: ribosomal RNA, 108 nt
Filed under: Ruminococcus sp. AF25-13
Lineage: Bacteria; Bacillati; Bacillota; Clostridia; Eubacteriales; Oscillospiraceae
Source: RNAcentral